Long non-coding RNA from Neopelma chrysocephalum (saffron-crested tyrant-manakin), 635 nucleotides. RefSeq lists it as uncharacterized. NCBI's taxonomy places the organism in Eukaryota, Metazoa, Chordata, Aves, Passeriformes, Pipridae. The transcript is spliced from 3 exons. The record is from RefSeq and is a predicted model, not a curated record.
UGACAGAUACGUGGUCAGACACCAGAAUGUGGUUUGUUCACCUGCUUGAUUUUAAUGCUUUGACAAAUAUGCUGUCUAGUAGCUCAACAUCUCAUAGAAAUUUCUGAUUUCCCAAGGUUAACCAGAAAUGAUUUUGAGGUUUGAGGCUGAUGAUGCUGUGACUCAUAUUAAUGACAAAUGGCAGUAAUACAGUUCUUGCAAGCAAUUUUCAAGCCAGACACGAUGCACAAAAGCCUAGCAGAAGAUUUGACAGCAGAAAACAUUGCACAAACAUGACUUUGGCAUUUGAUUGAAGUGCUGUAUUGUUCAGCUUCAACACAUUCUGACAUCUUCUGCAGAUCAAUUAAAGUGCAACAGUGUGGAAGCAAUAGAAAUGAAGAUGUCGUUUUAUCCUUAGCUUAGAAUAAAAAGAAAUGCAUUUGAGGAAAAGGAUGAAAGAGAAAUAAGCUGUUUGAACACAGUCAGCAUAACUUUUAUGUAUGUAUAAAGUUGUCUGAUACUACUCCAUGAAGUAAGAAUAAAAGAACAAGUAGGUAGGAAGAAUUCACAAAGUAGCAGAGGAGGAGCAGAAGAAUAAGAUUAUAUGUGUAGUAUCCAAGCCAUCAGCCAGAAAGGACCAUGAAUUUGGUUUAGAA